This 494-nucleotide ribosomal RNA is filed under the name uncultured bacterium. RNAcentral's name for it is "partial 16S ribosomal RNA". It matches the Rfam family "Bacterial small subunit ribosomal RNA", at positions 30 to 507 of the family's 1533-position model. The record is from RNAcentral.
ACGAACGCUGGCGGCGUGCCUAAUACAUGCCAGUAGAACGCUGAAGGAGGAGCUUGCUUCUCUGUAUGAGUUGCGAACGGGUGAGUAACGCGUAGGUAACCUGCCUGGUAGCGGUGGUUAACUAUUGGAAACGAUAGCUAAUACCGCAUCAGAGUAGAUGUUGCAUGACAUUUGCUUAAAAGGUGCAAUUGCAUCACUACCAGAUGGACCUGCGUUGUAUUAGCUAGUUGGGGGGGUAACGGCUCACCAAGGCGACGAUACAUAGCCGACCUGAGAGGGUGAACGGCCAAAAUGGGAAUGAGAAAAGGCCCAAAAUCCUAAGGGGAGGAGCAAGAGGGAAACUUCGGAAAAGGACGGAAGGCUGAACGAACAAAGACGCGGGAGUGAAGAAGGUUUUCGGAUCGUAAAGCUCUGUUGUAAGAGAAGAAAGAGUGGGAGAGUGGAAAGUUCACACUGUGACGGUAUCUAACCAGAAAGGGACGGCUAACUACGUG